This is an RNA transcript of Schistocerca nitens (vagrant locust), 2705 nucleotides long. RefSeq lists it as uncharacterized. The record is from RefSeq and is a predicted model, not a curated record. Lineage: Eukaryota; Metazoa; Arthropoda; Insecta; Orthoptera; Acrididae. The transcript has 2 exons.
CCGCCGCAGCACUAUAUCAGUGGCCAGUGCUGCGAUGGGAUCCGUGCGUCUAGGGCUCUCUUUGGGCCGCGCCUUGGGAAACAGCGGCGACUGCGGACGAAAUUCGGGUGCGUCGCAGUAUACCUGAGCGAGCAGACAGCGUCUUUCGCCGCGGGGGUCUGUCGCUGACGCAAGCCGCUGUCGCGCCUCGGACAACUCAUUUAUAUCGUCCGAGAAGACCGCGUCGCGGACACUGCUGUUGCUGCCACCCAGCUGCGUGGAACCACCUGCUAUCGCGCCGCCCCACGUUCGCCGCAGAGGAGCCUCUUGCUGCCGUCUCUGUGAGGGUCCUGGCGUCGACGCCCGGGCGCUUACGUUCGCCGCCGCGCCGUUCAGCCAGUCGCCCCGCCUCCCGUGCCGCCGCAUCGCACCGGCCGCCGCCCCCGCACUCCACACCGUCUCUCUGCCGCCGUCUACGCGCCGCAGCUAUUGUAAGUGUCGACAUAGCGGAAAGAACAGACUACUCUCCUGAUGGAAGUUUUCCCGUGUGAGAGGCCAAGACUAGUGUUUUUUGUGCCAAUAACUUCAAUUCAGAAUGGCGUUUUGUGUUUCUAUACCAGAUUGUGGUUUUAUACACCAUUUCUGCUGCUCCUUGUGUGAAUUGUUUCCCUCAGUAAUUGAAAGUACGUGGUGUAAAAUUAAGUUUUGUAUGUUAUUUAGUUAUCGCAUGGCCACUCUCUCUGUAUACAGGCUCUCUUUGGGCCGCGCCUUGGGAAACAGCGGCGACUGCGGACGAAAUUCGGGUGCGUCGCAGGAUACCUGAGCGAGCAGACAGCGUCUGUCGCCGCGGGGGUCUGUCGCUGACGCAAGCCGCUGUCGCGCCUCGGGCAACUCAUUUAUAUCGUCCGAGAAGUAUCUUUAUACAGUAACGUUUUGAGUUUGGACAGCUCCCCUAUUUUCUUGUUAUAUGUGUGUCAGCUGUACUAUUUGGUAUCAUGCUGAGCGCUGUUUACUUCACAGUCGCUUAUUUAAUUUCGUGCGUAGUUGUAAUGAGCAGAAGUUUCUGUAGGUAUAUUUUUGAGAGUAUUCGAUUAAUCUCCAGGGAUUUGCAGCUAGCAAAAUGUGUCUGUCAAUCAUAGAGACUCCCAGCCGUUCAUGGCAUUUUCUUCAGUUUCACUUUCGUACCACGAUUUAUCUUAUUUUCUUUCAUCAUUUCUAUAAGUACUAUUCCUGCACCCCGAUGAGAGUAGGCUCUUACGCCUUGCUAAACAGACGUGAGAGCACCACGGACCGCGACAAACCCCUUCUGUCCGAAAGCCGCGUUUGCAAGGCCGCUGAAAUAAUCGGGGUGUUCGAUCGCUGUACCUUGAUGGGGAUGUGUUUUUAUUGCGAGACCUGGCACAGACGCGAAAUCGCGUCUAGGCCGUGUGAGAAAAGUGGCAAACCAUUAAAUUCUGACCAUCCUGGUAUUGUUUAGCAGACUACUAGUGGGACUGGGCGACUUCAGACCCCAAGCGCGUAUACGGUCGUAAUUACACGAUUAGCACUUCCGUUGCCGCUGCCUGACAUGCCGGAUUGCGGAGGAAAAGGAUUGAACUUUCUCGGUCUUGUCUUUCUCUUCUUUCAGCAUCUCUUUACAUUUUGUCCCCUCAUCUUGGCCGGCCGUGGUGGCCGAGCGGUUAAAGGCGCUACAGUCUGGAACCGCGCGACGACCGCUACGGUCGCAGGUUCGAAUCCUGCCUCGGGCAUGGAUGUGUGUGAUGUCCUUAGGUUAGCUAGGUUUAAGUAGUUCUAAGUUCUAGGGGACUGAUGACCUUAGAAGUUAAGUCCCAUAGUGCUCAGAGCCAUUUGAACCAACCCUCAUCUUGAAGUCUUCCUCUGCCCGUUCCUUUUGUUUUUCAUAAGUAGAAGUUGCUUAACUGGUUAACUCAGUGCACGAAGCUACGAUGUAUUAAGUAAUGUACUGAAAUAUGAGUUAUAAUGCAUGAUGGAGUACCUAUCUAAGUUAACGUGUGAGGACAUGAUAAUUUUCGGCUGUUGCCCGCAGAGGACAGCGAAGUUUGUUGAUAUGAAGAUAUGUAUGAAGUUGUUCUUAUUGAGGUUACUUGUGAGAAGGCGAGAGGUCCCCUGUGGAUAAUAUGGUCGAACGGAAUUGCGUGCAGUCAAGAGUUCGUGUGUCAGUCGUUGUAAGUGAUGUCGUUUCUGUUGUACAGAUAAUGUUUUGUGGUAGAAGCUAAGGAGGAUACGUUUUCUGAUAAUGUGGAGUUGACUGAGUGAUGUUAAACGGUGAAUUUUAUGCUGUCGCCCCCAGAGGUCAGAAAGAGCAGCGAACAAUGUUUCAUUUUACCACGAAGCGCGUUUCAAUUUCAGACAACAAUGUGUCUUUGGAAUCGUUUAAAUUGUUACGUGUGAACGCUUACUACUAUAAGCAGAGGCCGCAUGGUACAAACACGUGGACUAGCACAGCUUUUGCCUUGCAAUAAGCCAGCCAUGCACCCACAUGCUACCACUUCCAUUUCCCGUCUUAGUCUUGUCUGCCACAAUUAAGUUUAAUUUUCAGUCAUUUGUGGUAUAAGUUUUGAGUGAGUGUAAACAGUGUUGAACAUCGUGGGAAUCUGUUUUCUUUCGAAAGAAUGCAUUAAUUUAACCUUACGUAGGUUUUUCUACAAUGUUACUUUUUACAAGUCUGAUUUGUUCGGUACUUCGCUUUGUUGUCAAAUAAAGAA